This 253-nucleotide ribosomal RNA is filed under the name uncultured bacterium. Its description in RNAcentral is "partial 16S ribosomal RNA". It matches the Rfam family "Bacterial small subunit ribosomal RNA", at positions 524 to 776 of the family's 1533-position model. The record is from RNAcentral.
UACGUAGGGGGCAAGCGUUGUCCGGAAUCAUUGGGCGUAAAGCGCGUGUAGGCGGCUCGAUAAGUCCGCUGUGAAAGUCCAGGGCUCAACCCUGGAAUGCCGGUGGAAACUGUCGAGCUAGAGUCCGGAAGAGGCGAGUGGAAUUCCUGGUGUAGCGGUGAAAUGCGCAGAUAUCAGGAGGAACACCAAUGGCGAAGGCAGCUCGCUGGGACGGUACUGACGCUGAGGCACGAAAGCGUGGGGAGCAAACAGG